CGUGUAGGCGGUUGGUCAAGUCGGGUGUGAAAGCCUGGGGCUCAGCCCCAGAAGUGCAUCCGAAACUAGCCAGCUGGAGCGCGAUAGAGGAGGGUGGAAUUCCUGGUGUAGCGGUGAAAUGCGUAGAUAUCAGGAGGAACACCGGCGGCGAAGGCGGCCCUCUGGAUCGUUGCUGACGCUGAGACGCGAAAGCGUGGGGAGCAAACAGGAUUAGAUACCCUGGUAGUCCACGCCUUAAACGAUGGGUACUAGGUGUUCGGGGUGUUGACCCCCUGAGUGCCGCAGUUAACGCAUUAAGUACCCCGCCUGGGGACUACGGCCGCAAGGUUAAA
This 332-nucleotide ribosomal RNA is filed under the name uncultured bacterium. RNAcentral describes it as "bacterial SSU rRNA". It matches the Rfam family "Bacterial small subunit ribosomal RNA", at positions 568 to 898 of the family's 1533-position model. The record is from RNAcentral.